AUGAACGCUGGCUGCGUGCCUAAUACCUGCCAGUCGAGCGAACGGACGAGAAGCUUGCUUCUCUGAUGUUAGCGGCGGACGGGUGAGUAACACGUGGAUAACCUACCUAUAAGACUGGGAUAACUUCGGGAAACCGGAGCUAAUACCGGAUAAUAUUUUGAACCGCAUGGUUCAAAAGUGAAAGACGGUCUUGCUGUCACUUAUAGAUGGAUCCGCGCUGCAUUAGCUAGUUGGUAAGGUAACGGCUUACCAAGGCAACGAUGCAUAGCCGACCUGAGAGGGUGAUCGGCCACACUGGAACUGAGACACGGUCCAGACUCCUACGGGAGGCAGCAGUAGGGAAUCUUCCGCAAUGGGCGAAAGCCUGACGGAGCAACGCCGCGUGAGUGAUGAAGGUCUUCGGAUCGUAAAACUCUGUUAUUAGGGAAGAACAUAUGUGUAAGUAACUGUGCACAUCUUGACGGUACCUAAUCAGAAAGCCACGGCUAACUACGUG
RNAcentral lists this ribosomal RNA (496 nucleotides) under uncultured bacterium. Its description in RNAcentral is "partial 16S ribosomal RNA". It matches the Rfam family "Bacterial small subunit ribosomal RNA", at positions 29 to 507 of the family's 1533-position model. The record is from RNAcentral.